This 584-nucleotide ribosomal RNA is filed under the name Pseudomonas sp. ERR556. RNAcentral's name for it is "bacterial SSU rRNA". It matches the Rfam family "Bacterial small subunit ribosomal RNA", at positions 73 to 653 of the family's 1533-position model. Lineage: Bacteria; Pseudomonadati; Pseudomonadota; Gammaproteobacteria; Pseudomonadales; Pseudomonadaceae. The record is from RNAcentral.
GUGGAGCUUGCUCCAUGAUUCAGCGGCGGACGGGUGAGUAAUGCCUAGGAAUCUGCCUGGUAGUGGGGGACAACGUUUCGAAAGGAACGCUAAUACCGCAUACGUCCUACGGGAGAAAGCAGGGGACCUUCGGGCCUUGCGCUAUCAGAUGAGCCUAGGUCGGAUUAGCUAGUUGGUGGGGUAAAGGCCUACCAAGGCGACGAUCCGUAACUGGUCUGAGAGGAUGAUCAGUCACACUGGAACUGAGACACGGUCCAGACUCCUACGGGAGGCAGCAGUGGGGAAUAUUGGACAAUGGGCGAAAGCCUGAUCCAGCCAUGCCGCGUGUGUGAAGAAGGUCUUCGGAUUGUAAAGCACUUUAAGUUGGGAGGAAGGGCAGUAAGUUAAUACCUUGCUGUUUUGACGUUACCAACAGAAUAAGCACCGGCUAACUUCGUGCCAGCAGCCGCGGUAAUACGAAGGGUGCAAGCGUUAAUCGGAAUUACUGGGCGUAAAGCGCGCGUAGGUGGUUUGGUAAGAUGGAUGUGAAAUCCCCGGGCUCAACCUGGGAACUGCAUCCAUAACUGCCUGACUAGAGUACGGUA